RNAcentral lists this ribosomal RNA (314 nucleotides) under uncultured bacterium. RNAcentral's name for it is "bacterial SSU rRNA". It matches the Rfam family "Bacterial small subunit ribosomal RNA", at positions 28 to 334 of the family's 1533-position model. The record is from RNAcentral.
GAUGAACGCUGGCGGCGUGCUUAACACAUGCAAGUCGAGCGAUGAAGUUUCCUUCGGGAAACGGAUUAGCGGCGGACGGGUGAGUAACACGUGGGUAACCUGCCUCAUAGAGUGGGAUAACACUUGGAAACAGGUGCUAAUACCGCAUAACAGUUUAUGCCGCAUGGCAUAAGAGUGAAAGGCGCUUUCGGGUGUCGCUGAUGGAUGGACCCGCGGUGCAUUAGCUAGUUGGUGAGGUAACGGCUCACCAAGGCCACGAUGCAUAGCCGACCUGAGAGGGUGAUCGGCCACACUGGGACUGAGACACGGCCCAG